GACGAACGCUGGCGGCGUGCUUAACACAUGCAAGUCGAACGGAAAGGCCCUGCUUUUGUGGGGUGCUCGAUAGGCGAACGGGUGAGUAUCACGUGAGUAACCUCCCCUUGACUUUCGGAUAACUUCACGAAACUGGGGCUCAUACCGGAUAGGAUCUCCUGCUCCAUGGUGGGGGUUGGAAAGUUUCGGCGGUUGGGGAUGGUCUGGCAGCUUAUCAGCUUGUUGGUCGAGUAGUUGCUUACCAAGGCUGUGACGGAUAGCCGGCCUGAGAGGGUUACCGGCCUCAAUGGGCCUGAGAUACGGCCCAGAAUCCUACGGGAGGCAGCAGGGGGGAAUAUGGCAGAAUGGGCGGAAGCCUGAUGCAGCAACGCCGCGUGCGGGAUGACGGGCUUCGGGUUGAAAACAGCUUUCGCCUUUGACGAAGCGUGAGUGACGGUAAUGGGUAAAGAAGCACCGGCUAACUACGUG
This 468-nucleotide ribosomal RNA is filed under the name uncultured bacterium. RNAcentral's name for it is "partial 16S ribosomal RNA". It matches the Rfam family "Bacterial small subunit ribosomal RNA", at positions 28 to 507 of the family's 1533-position model. The record is from RNAcentral.